This 76-nucleotide transfer RNA is filed under the name Steroidobacteraceae bacterium. RNAcentral's name for it is "tRNA-Lys". It matches the Rfam family "tRNA". Rfam says of the family: Transfer RNA (tRNA) molecules are approximately 80 nucleotides in length. Their secondary structure includes four short double-helical elements and three loops (D, anti-codon, and T loops). Lineage: Bacteria; Pseudomonadati; Pseudomonadota; Gammaproteobacteria; Steroidobacterales; Steroidobacteraceae. The record is from RNAcentral.
GGGCCGUUAGCUCAGUUGGUAGAGCAGCUCCCUUUUAAGGAGUUGGUCGCUGGUUCGAGCCCAGCACGGCCCACCA